This 468-nucleotide ribosomal RNA is filed under the name uncultured bacterium. Its description in RNAcentral is "partial 16S ribosomal RNA". It matches the Rfam family "Bacterial small subunit ribosomal RNA", at positions 28 to 507 of the family's 1533-position model. The record is from RNAcentral.
GACGAACGCUGGCGGCGUGCUUAACACAUGCAAGUCGAACGGAAAGGCCCUGCUUUUGUGGGGUGCUCGAGUGGCGAACGGGUGAGUAACACGUGAGUAACCUGCCCUUGACUUUGGGAUAACUUCAGGAAACUGGGGCUAAUACCGGAUAGGAGCUCCUGCUGCAUGGUGGGGGUUGGAAAGUUUCGGCGGUUGGGGAUGGACUGGCGGCUUAUCAGCUUGUUGGUGGGGUAGUGGCUUACCAAGGCUUUGACGGGUAGCCGGCCUGAGAGGGUGACCGGCCACAUUGGGACUGAGGUACGGCCCAGACUCCUACGGGAGGCAGCAGUGGGGAAUAUUGCACAAUGGGCGGAAGCCUGAUGCAGCAACGCCGCGUGCGGAAUGACGGCCUGCGGGGUGUAAACCGCUUUCGCCUGUGACGAAGCGUGAGUGACGGUAAUGGGUAAAGAAGCACCGGCUAACUACGUG